Molecule: ribosomal RNA, 251 nt
Filed under: uncultured bacterium
Lineage: Bacteria
Description: partial 16S ribosomal RNA
Rfam family: Bacterial small subunit ribosomal RNA
Source: RNAcentral
AACGUGAGGGGCAAGUAUUAUUCGGAAUGACUGGGCGUAAAGGGCGCGUAGGUGGUAUAUUAAGUCGAAGGGGAAAUCCUAAUGUUUAACAUUAGAAGAUCUUUGAUACUGGUAUACUUGAGUGAAUUUAAGGAUAAUGGAAUUUAUACAGGUGCGAUAAAAUGUGAAAUUGUAUAAAGACCACCAAUGGCGAAGGCAAUUAUCUAUAAUUUAACUGACACUGAGGUGCGAAAGCAUGGGGAGCAAACAGG